Molecule: ribosomal RNA, 253 nt
Filed under: uncultured bacterium
Lineage: Bacteria
Description: partial 16S ribosomal RNA
Rfam family: Bacterial small subunit ribosomal RNA
Source: RNAcentral
GACAGAGGGUGCAAACGUUGUUCGGAAUUACUGGGCGUAAAGCGCGUGUAGGCGGCCAUCUAAGUCGGGCGUGAAAUCCCACAGCUCAACCGUGGAAGUGCACUCGAAACUGGAUGGCUAGAGUCCUGGAGAGGAAGGUGGAAUGCUUGGUGUAGAGGUGAAAUUCGUAGAUAUCAAGCGGAACACCGGUGGCGAAGGCGGCCUUCUGGACAGUGACUGACGCUGAGACGCGAAAGCGUGGGGAGCAAACAGG